RNAcentral lists this non-coding RNA (29 nucleotides) under Homo sapiens (human). The record is from RNAcentral. Lineage: Eukaryota; Metazoa; Chordata; Mammalia; Primates; Hominidae.
UUUGAAAGGAUGUCUGCCUAGGAGUGGAG